CGCACUGCAUGGUGCGUGCACGCGACAGUUUAUUCCCGCUGGGUGUUCGAAGGACAGGACGAUAUAAACCCAGUAUCUGGCAUCGUUGUUUUUCCUGGCUUCGUGCAUGUUCAACCUGGUAUCUUUAUUGAUACAGUA
Molossus molossus (Pallas's mastiff bat) is the source of this 138-nucleotide small nucleolar RNA. RefSeq annotates it as small nucleolar RNA SNORA8. Lineage: Eukaryota; Metazoa; Chordata; Mammalia; Chiroptera; Molossidae. The record is from RefSeq and is a predicted model, not a curated record. The transcript has a single exon.